CAGCCCCUCGAGUGGUGGGGAUGAUUAUUUGGCCUAAAGCGUCCGUAGCCGGCCCUGUAAGUCCCCCGUUAAAUCCAGCGUCUCAAGCGUUGGACCGCGGGAGAUACUGCAAGGCUAGAGGGUGGGAGAGGUAAGCGGUAUUCUGGGGGUAGGGGCGAAAUCCUUUGAUCCCCGGAGGACCACCAGUGGCGAAGGCUGCUUACUUGAACACGCCUGACGGUCAGGGACGAAAGCUGGGGUAGCGAACCGGAUUAGAUACCCGAGUAGUCC
This 270-nucleotide ribosomal RNA is filed under the name uncultured archaeon. Its description in RNAcentral is "partial 16S ribosomal RNA". It matches the Rfam family "Archaeal small subunit ribosomal RNA", at positions 477 to 747 of the family's 1478-position model. The record is from RNAcentral.